Molecule: ribosomal RNA, 253 nt
Filed under: uncultured bacterium
Lineage: Bacteria
Description: partial 16S ribosomal RNA
Rfam family: Bacterial small subunit ribosomal RNA
Source: RNAcentral
UACGUAGGCAGCAAGCGUUGUUCGGAAUUACUGGGCGUAAAGCGUGCGUAGACGGUUAUCUAAGUCGGAUGUGAAAGCCCCGGGCUCAACCUGGGAAUUGCAUUCGAGACUGAAUAGCUAGGGUGCGGUAGAGGGAAGCGGAAUUCCCAGUGUAGCGGUGAAAUGCGCAGAUAUUGGGAAGAACACCAGUGGCGAAGGCGGUUCUCUGGGACGGUACUGACGCUGAGACGCGAAAGCGUGGGGAGCGAACAGG